CCUACGGGUGGCAGCAGUAGGGAAUUUUCGGCAAUGGGGGGAACCCUGACCGAGCAACGCCGCGUGAACGAAGAAGUUAUUCGUAAUGUAAAGUUCUUUUAACAGGGAAGAAAGAGAAAUUUGACGGUACCUGAAGAAUAAGCUCCGGCUAACUACGUGCCAGCAGCCGCGGUAAUACGUAGGGAGCGAGCGUUAUCCGGCUUUAUUGGGCGAAAAGGGUGCGUAGAUGGCAUAGUAAGUCUUUUGUAAAAAGGCUGGGCUCAACCCAGUAGGGCAAAAGAUACUGCAAAGCUAGAGUAUGACAGAGGCAAGUGGAACUACAGGUGUAGCGGUAAAAUGCGUAAAUAUAUGUAAGAACACCAGUGGCGAAGGCGGCUUGCGGGGUCGAUACUGACAUUGAGGCACGAAAGCGUGGGGAGCAAACAGGAUUAGAUACCCUGGUAGUC
This 446-nucleotide ribosomal RNA is filed under the name uncultured bacterium. Its description in RNAcentral is "partial 16S ribosomal RNA". It matches the Rfam family "Bacterial small subunit ribosomal RNA", at positions 338 to 795 of the family's 1533-position model. The record is from RNAcentral.